CCUACGGGACGCAGCAGUGGGGGAUAUUGCACAAUGGGGGAAACCCUGAUGCAGCAACGCCGCGUGAGUGAUGACGGCCUUCGGUUUGUAAAGCUCUGUCUUCAGGGACGAAAAUGACGGUACCUGACUAGGAAGCCACGGCUAACUACGUGCCAGCAGCCGCGGUAAUACGUAGGUGGCGAGCGUUGUCCGGAUUUACUGGGCGUAAAGGGAGCGAAGGCGGACUUUUAAGUCAGAUGUGAAAUAC
Molecule: ribosomal RNA, 247 nt
Filed under: uncultured bacterium
Lineage: Bacteria
Description: partial 16S ribosomal RNA
Rfam family: Bacterial small subunit ribosomal RNA
Source: RNAcentral